UACAGAGGGGGCAAGCGUUGUUCGGAAUUACUGGGCGUAAAGGGCGCGUAGGCGGCCUGUUAAGUCGAACGUGAAAUCCCCGGGCUCAACCCGGGAACUGCGUCCGAUACUGGCAGGCUUGAAUUCGGGAGAGGGAUGCGGAAUUCCAGGUGUAGCGGUGAAAUGCGUAGAUAUCUGGAGGAACACCGGUGGCGAAGGCGGCAUCCUGGACCGAAAUUGACGCUCAGGCACGAAAGCGUGGGGAGCAAACAGG
Molecule: ribosomal RNA, 253 nt
Filed under: uncultured bacterium
Lineage: Bacteria
Description: partial 16S ribosomal RNA
Rfam family: Bacterial small subunit ribosomal RNA
Source: RNAcentral